Molecule: long non-coding RNA, 2701 nt
Organism: Capsicum annuum
Lineage: Eukaryota; Viridiplantae; Streptophyta; Magnoliopsida; Solanales; Solanaceae
Exons: 5
Source: RefSeq, a predicted model, not a curated record
CUUAAUAGAUUUAAUGUACGCCACCAGGACCCCUCUCACCUCCAAGCAUCUCUGAAGAGCCUCCCAAGGACUUUGUCAUACGUCUUCCUCAGGUCGAUGAACACCAUGUGUAAGUCCCUCUUCCUUUCCCUAUACUGCUCCACCAAUAUCCUCACCAGGUGAAUUGCCUCUGUCGUCGAGCAAUUGGGUAUAAAUCCAAACUGAUUCUCCGAAAUAGACACGAUAUUAAUAUAAAUUUUCUCCUAUCUAGGGUGAAUAUUUCUCAUUUUCCUAAAUCUGCAAUUUACUCUAUUUUUGUUUGUUGAUUUAGUGUUUCGCCGAACUUCGCCGGAUAACUCUCUCGUAGUUCUUAUCCCUUAUUUAUGUCUUACUCCAAAUGUCCACUGGCUUCGAUCUCAGGCAUCCAGCCCUAACCAAAGAGCCUGUUACCAUGUUGAGCCCUGAAAUGAUAACAUUCCUGUGUGGACUGCCUUUUCUUUUUAUUAACUUAAAUCUGUUUUUUAUAAAUCUGGAUAUUUCUUGUUGGCUUUACAUUAUUAGCCUAUGUUUUUAAUUAUUGGUCUACGCUUAGCUUUAGCCAUUUGAUUCUAUGUGAUACUAGUAGAGUCCAUUUGUUGCUAGAUGCUGCAGUUUAAGUCUCAUUUGCCACCAAGUAAUUGUUUCAAACUUCUUCUUUGUUAAAGAAAGACACUUGUUUAACCUUCUUAUGCAAUCAAUCUUGAACUUGGAAAUUUGGUUAGCCAUUUAUUAGUAUAGAGAUUAAAAUUUGCAUAUCCUGCAGAUGGACUGUGGAUUCUGAUAUAGUUGAGGGAAUUGAAUGACAUCUUUAUUAACUGAAUAAUAGUCCUAACAAUUAAGCCCCAUUGCCAUCUCAGUCUAGCUUUCCCCUUCUUGUCCUCCACGAAGGUCACUAUCAACUCGCCUCAAAUAUCUUGUUCUUAAAGUAAAUAUCUCUCCUAGUAUGCCCACACAUGCAUCAUCUGAGCAUCCUCAUCUCGGCUACCUUCAUUUUCUGAACAUGAGUAUUCUUGACUGACCACAACAAAAUAGGUCUAACUACCACUUUGUAGAACUUACCUUUACGACUUGGUGACACAAUCUUAUCACACAUAGCCCUAUAGGCGAGCCUCCACUUCAUCCAGUCUUCCCUUCCUAUUUAAUUUUUCCAUCUACAAUCAAAAUGGUUAUCCAAUCUUGUGCUUGCAAUCGACACACCCCGACUUCUCUUCUCACCUUUCCAGCUUCAUGGAACUUCCUCCCAUCCACUUGUGGCCUUCAUAUGAAACUCUAGAUGACUAGUCUUUAGUUCUUUAUCAGAAAAUCAGAGAAGAAAUUUGGUGUCGCUGAUUGCAUCUACCAUCCAAUCUUCCGCUGCUUGUUCUAAUGGUCUUCCAAAAAGCAACCCAUUUGGUACAGCUUCCCACCAAACAAGUUUUUAAAGGUUCUUCCUAAUAUAAGUGUGUUCGUCUGAAGGAGUGAAAGCAGAUUUUUUGUCAUCUGGACUGCAGUUUUUUGGUCAUCAUUUCUUAGUAUUAUCCAAGUUUUUCACUGACUUGGCCUUUUUAGAUAUUGAUAUGACCACAGGACAAAGUAUCUAUGUAUGCAAGUUGGUAACAGGAAACUUGGAGUUGUCCUUGAGUAUUUUUUUUUAAAAAUGCAAUAGAAAUAUAACUGGAUUUUGAGUUGGUAAUAAGAAACUUUGUUGAGAAUUAGUGCACAGUGCAAAGACUGCAGUGGAUUUUUUUAAAUUUUUGUUCUCUUUAGAUCUUCUGCUAAAACGUAACUGCGUCAUACAUGGACAUUGCCUUAAUAUUUUAACUACAUGUCAACCAUCUUCACAACUCAGCGCAUUGUUGACUUUGGCGCCCUUCCUUGCCUGUGGAAGUUGCUAAACAAGAACGUCGAGGAAAUGGAUGUCUGGACGAUUAUAAGAAGUCUUACUUGGGUAUAAAGGCAUCUCAGAUAAGGAGCACCAAUUCACAGUUUCAUGGCUCUGUACGGCAUGAAAUGGAGGAAAAAAAGAUGGAAGUAAAAGAAAAGCUUGACAAGUAUGAAGAACGGAAGCUGUCGAUCUUCUGUUCUGAACUAGAUGCAUCAGGAGGACAUGGUACCAAAGUUGAUGGACUUUUUUGAAGGUCUUUAAGCUACGACUGUUGGGUUGUGUGCUGAGAAAGAACAGGUUGACUUCUGAAUGUGAUAAAAGCAUCUGUGAUGCAUCUCUGGUCAAGUGAUGCUGACCAGAAUCGAGUCAAGUGAUGACGAACUAUGUGGUGCAAUUGGUGAAAUUCUAAGAGAAGGUGACAUCCCCACAAUCGAGAAUCUUGAUAUACAUUCUCCCCGAGGUCGUAGUAGGAAGAUAGUUCCAAUGGAGAAUUCACAUCAGGUCUAACCAGUGCAAAGACGAUAUUUUUCUUUUGCGGGCAAGCCGUUUGGAACAGAUCUCAAGCCCAAAGAAAACCAUACAAAGAUUAUGAUCAUGUUUCAGCAUGAUCAACCCAUGCAUCGGAAAGUUCUUUAUGACCUGGAAUCAAGGGCGGAGCUAGCAUAUACUCAGGGAUGAAAUUCAUCGGAACCCCAUUCAGCAAAAAAAUUACACUAUGUAUGCAUGUUUAAAAGCCUGAAAUGGUCUGAAGUGUGAGCCUCUUACAUGUCUUGCUUCUUUCCAAUGUUCCUUUUCUAAUUCAGAUGCAUUUCUCAUAAA